This 253-nucleotide ribosomal RNA is filed under the name uncultured bacterium. Its description in RNAcentral is "partial 16S ribosomal RNA". It matches the Rfam family "Bacterial small subunit ribosomal RNA", at positions 524 to 776 of the family's 1533-position model. The record is from RNAcentral.
UACGAGGGGUGCAAGCGUUGUUCGGAAUUACUGGGCGUAAAGCGCGUGUAGGUGGUGAAAUGUGUCGAAUGUGAAAGCCCUGGGCUUAACCCAGGAAGUGCGUUCGAAACUGUUUAACUCGAGUACGGGAGAGGUGGGCGGAAUUCCCAGUGUAGAGGUGAAAUUCGUAGAUAUUGGGAGGAACACCGGUGGCGAAAGCGGCUCACUAGACCGUAACUGACACUGAGACGCGAAAGCGUGGGGAUCAAACAGG